Molecule: ribosomal RNA, 948 nt
Filed under: uncultured Gammaproteobacteria bacterium
Lineage: Bacteria; Pseudomonadati; Pseudomonadota; Gammaproteobacteria
Description: bacterial SSU rRNA
Rfam family: Bacterial small subunit ribosomal RNA
Source: RNAcentral
UGUUGGUGGGGUAACGGCUCACCAAGGCGACGAUCCCUAGCUGGUCUGAGAGGAUGACCAGCCACACUGGAACUGAGACACGGUCCAGACUCCUACGGGAGGCAGCAGUGGGGAGUAUUGCACAAUGGGCGCAAGCCUGAUGCAGCCAUGCCGCGUGUAUGAAGAAGGCCUUCGGGUUGUAAAGUACUUUCAGCGGGGAGGAAGGGAGUAAAGUUAAUACCUUUGCUCAUUGACGUUACCCGCAGAAGAAGCACCGGCUAACUCCGUGCCAGCAGCCGCGGUAAUACGGAGGGUGCAAGCGUUAAUCGGAAUUACUGGGCGUAAAGCGCACGCAGGCGGUUUGUUAAGUCAGAUGUGAAAUCCCCGGGCUCAACCUGGGAACUGCAUCUGAUACUGGCAAGCUUGAGUCUCGUAGAGGGGGGUAGAAUUCCAGGUGUAGCGGUGAAAUGCGUAGAGAUCUGGAGGAAUACCGGUGGCGAAGGCGGCCCCCUGGACGAAGACUGACGCUCAGGUGCGAAAGCGUGGGGAGCAAACAGGAUUAGAUACCCUGGUAGUCCACGCCGUAAACGAUGUCGACUUGGAGGUUGUGCCCUUGAGGCGUGGCUUCCGGAGCUAACGCGUUAAGUCGACCGCCUGGGGAGUACGGCCGCAAGGUUAAAACUCAAAUGAAUUGACGGGGGCCCGCACAAGCGGUGGAGCAUGUGGUUUAAUUCGAUGCAACGCGAAGAACCUUACCUGGUCUUGACAUCCACGGAAGUUUUCAGAGAUGAGAAUGUGCCUUCGGGAACCGUGAGACAGGUGCUGCAUGGCUGUCGUCAGCUCGUGUUGUGAAAUGUUGGGUUAAGUCCCGCAACGAGCGCAACCCUUAUCCUUUGUUGCCAGCGGUCCGGCCGGGAACUCAAAGGAGACCGCCAGUGAUAAACUGGAGGAAGGUGGGGAUGACGUCAA